This 284-nucleotide ribosomal RNA is filed under the name uncultured Thiobacillus sp. RNAcentral's name for it is "partial 16S ribosomal RNA". It matches the Rfam family "Bacterial small subunit ribosomal RNA", at positions 1093 to 1382 of the family's 1533-position model. The record is from RNAcentral. Lineage: Bacteria; Pseudomonadati; Pseudomonadota; Betaproteobacteria; Nitrosomonadales; Thiobacillaceae.
CGAGCGCAACCCUUAUCAUUAGUUGCUACGCAAGGGCGACUCUAAUGAGACUGCCGGUGGACAAACCGGAGGAAGUGGGGAUGACGUCAAGUCCUCAUGGCCCUUAUGGGUAGGGCUUCACACGUCAUACAAUGGUCGGUACAGAGGGUUGCCAAGCCGCGAGGCGGAGCCAAUCCCACAAAGCCGAUCGUAGUCCGGAUUGUUCUCUGCAACUCGAGAGCAUGAAGUCGGAAUCGCUAGUAAUCGCAGGUCAGCAUACUGCGGUGAAUACGUUCCCGGGUCUU